ACUCACUUUCUUUAAUGGUGUUAGCUUGGAAGGAUCUAUGGGUUUCUUGUUUCGCUAAUUACUGUUACUUCGGAUCUUUAUCCGUGCGGCAGACCUCUCGAUCCCGUUACUUUUCUCGCCUUUUACCGCUUUCCUAGCUGGAAGACCUCGAUAGGAGGCAAUGUUUUAUGUGUUUACUUUAUGCAUGUUCCUUCGCCUAGGACUCCCUUUCUUGCAUGAG
Molecule: long non-coding RNA, 220 nt
Filed under: Lathyrus oleraceus (garden pea)
Lineage: Eukaryota; Viridiplantae; Streptophyta; Magnoliopsida; Fabales; Fabaceae
Description: Pisum sativum (pea) long non-coding RNA (PSAT_LNC017619)
Source: RNAcentral